UGGGGAAUUUUGGACAAUGGGGGCAACCCUGAUCCAGCCAUCCCGCGUGUGCGAUGAAGGCCUUCGGGUUGUAAAGCACUUUUGGCAGGGAAGAAACAGCCUGGGAUAAUACCCCGGGCGACUGACGGUACCUGCAGAAUAAGCACCGGCUAACUACGUGCCAGCAGCCGCGGUAAUACGUAGGGUGCAAGCGUUAAUCGGAAUUACUGGGCGUAAAGCGUGCGCAGGCGGUUCGGAAAGAAAGGUGUGAAAUCCCAGGGCUUAACCUUGGAACUGCACUUUUAACUACCGAGCUAGAGUACGUCAGAGGGGGGUAGAAUUCCACGUGUAGCAGUGAAAUGCGUAGAGAUGUGGAGGAAUACCGAUGGCGAAGGCAGCCCCCUGGGAUGAUACUGACGCUCAUGCACGAAAGCGUGGGGAGCAAACAGGAUUAGAUACCCUGGUAGUCCACGCCCUAAACGAUGUCAACUAGCUGUUGGGGUUUAUUAACUUAGUAGCGCAGCUAACGCGUGAAGUUGACCGCCUGGGGAGUACGGUCGC
RNAcentral lists this ribosomal RNA (540 nucleotides) under uncultured bacterium. Its description in RNAcentral is "partial 16S ribosomal RNA". It matches the Rfam family "Bacterial small subunit ribosomal RNA", at positions 355 to 889 of the family's 1533-position model. The record is from RNAcentral.